UACGGAGGGUGCAAGCGUUAUCCGGAAUUAUUGGGCGUAAAGCGUCCGUAGGCGGUUUCAAAAGUCUGUUGUUAAAGCCCGCAGCUCAACUGUGGAUCGGCAAUGGAAACUGUGAGACUAGAGAGUGGUAGGGGUAGAGGGAAUUCCUAGUGUAGCGGUGAAAUGCGUAGAUAUUAGGAAUACCAAUGGCGAAGGCAGCCCCCUGGGAUAAUAUUGACGCUCAUGCACGAAAGCGUGGGGAGCAAACAGG
This 250-nucleotide ribosomal RNA is filed under the name uncultured bacterium. Its description in RNAcentral is "partial 16S ribosomal RNA". It matches the Rfam family "Bacterial small subunit ribosomal RNA", at positions 524 to 776 of the family's 1533-position model. The record is from RNAcentral.